This 118-nucleotide transfer RNA is filed under the name Caudoviricetes sp. RNAcentral describes it as "tRNA-Thr". It matches the Rfam family "tRNA". From Rfam's summary of the family: Transfer RNA (tRNA) molecules are approximately 80 nucleotides in length. Lineage: Duplodnaviria; Heunggongvirae; Uroviricota; Caudoviricetes. The record is from RNAcentral.
GCCCGGUGUAGCUCAAUCGGAUAGAGCGCGUAAUAUGCGAGCUGAUAAGUUCGCUGACAGCAAAUUUCUUUUAGAUUUGUAAUCUCGAGGUUGUCGGUUCGAAUCCGGCCUCCGGGCA